Molecule: ribosomal RNA, 443 nt
Filed under: uncultured bacterium
Lineage: Bacteria
Description: partial 16S ribosomal RNA
Rfam family: Bacterial small subunit ribosomal RNA
Source: RNAcentral
CCUACGGGCGGCAGCAGUGGGGAAUAUUGGGCAAUGGGCGCAAGCCUGACCCAGCAACGCCGCGUGAAGGAAGAAGGCUUUCGGGUUGUAAACUUCUUUUCUCAGGGACGAAGAAAGUGACGGUUCCUUAGGAAUACGCCACUGCUAACGACGUGCCAGCAGCCGCAGUACUACGUAGGUGGCAAGCGUUAUCCGGAUCUACUGGGUGUAAAGGGCGUGUAGGCGGGACUGCAAGUCAGGAGUGAAAACCACGGGCUCAACCUGGGGCCUGCAUUUGAAACUGUAGUUAUUGAGUACUGGAGAGGCAGACGGAAUUCCUAGUGUAGCGGUGAAAUGCGUAGAUAUUAGGAGGAACACCAGUGGCGAAGGCGGUCUGCUGGACAGCAACUGACGCUGAGGCGCGAAAGCGUGGGGAGCAAACAGGAUUAGAUUCCCUUGUAGUC